Cavia porcellus (domestic guinea pig) is the source of this 617-nucleotide long non-coding RNA. RefSeq lists it as uncharacterized. NCBI's taxonomy places the organism in Eukaryota, Metazoa, Chordata, Mammalia, Rodentia, Caviidae. The transcript has 2 exons. The record is from RefSeq and is a predicted model, not a curated record.
CUGAGGCGCCUUGCCUCGUGCGGGUUCCCUCACCACCCUCGAGUCUGCUUUCCUCCUGUCCCCUCUGCCUCCUGGGGUCCCUGCACUCCUCACCGGUGUGGCUACCAACCCCGCCAGGGUUCCAGCCCCAGGCCUGGAGUCGGCAGUUCCUCCUCCUGGCUCUCCUGGAGCUGGUUUUCAUCCAGCCCUCAUUCUUGGGAUGUGGAAGUGCCCUCUGCCUGUGUUCUGCCCACUACCACCACCUCCACCACCCGCCAUCGCCCUGCUGAGUAAGCAAUGUGACGCGGAGCAGCUCCUUGAUUCCUAGUGCCACAUGCACAACAGGACUCCAGCCAGUACGGGAAGCAGGUUGCCCAGCAGCAGCCAGAGGGUGACCACCAGGCUGGAGGAGCGGGAGCAGAGAUCUAGGGUGGAAAACAGCAGAGUGACCAAUGGCAGAGGCUUCCAUGACAAAAUCACCGCAGCGGCAAUCUGACAGGCGAGGAGUAUGGAUGGGGACUAAGAGUGACUUCAGAGCCCUGAGUUCAAUCCCAGUACCACAAAAAAAAAAAAGUGACUGAGACCCUGGUAUGUAAAGUUUUGUGUAUUAUGGAAACAAGAUAUACAGAAGAAGAAAA